Molecule: long non-coding RNA, 632 nt
Organism: Myxocyprinus asiaticus (Chinese sucker)
Lineage: Eukaryota; Metazoa; Chordata; Actinopteri; Cypriniformes; Catostomidae
Exons: 4
Source: RefSeq, a predicted model, not a curated record
UGAGGUCAGUGUGAUUUUAAACUGAAAUCAGCAUGAUUCUGAACUGAAAUCAGUGUGAUUCAGAACUGGAUCAUAGUAUUUCAGAACUGAUAUCUGUGUGAUUCUUAACUGAGACCCAUGUGAUACUGAACUGAGGUCAGUGUGAUUUUAAACUGAAAUCAGCAUGAUUCUGAACUGAAAUCAGUGUGAUUCAGAACUGGAUCAUAGUAUUUCAGAACUAUCUGUGUGAUUCUUAACUGAGACCCAUGUGAUACUGAACUGAGAUCAGUGUGAUUUUAAACUGAAAUCAGCAUGAUUCUGAACUGAAAUCAGUGUGAUUCAGAACUGGAUCAUAGUAUUUCAGAACUGAUAUCUGUGUGAUUCUUAACUGAGACCCAUGUGAUACUGAACUGAGGUCAGUGUGAUUUUAAACUGAAAUCAGCAUGAUUCUGAACUGAAAUCAGUGUGAUUCAGAACUGGAUCAUAGUAUUUCAGAACUAUCUGUGUGAUUCUUAACUGAGACCCAUGUGAUACUGAACUGAGGUCAGUGUGAUUUUAAACUGAAAUCAGCAUGAUUCUGAACUGAAAUCAGUGUGAUUCAGAACUGGAUCAUAGUAUUUCAGAACUGAUAUCUGUGUGAUUCUUAACUGAGA